This 497-nucleotide ribosomal RNA is filed under the name uncultured bacterium. RNAcentral describes it as "partial 16S ribosomal RNA". It matches the Rfam family "Bacterial small subunit ribosomal RNA", at positions 28 to 507 of the family's 1533-position model. The record is from RNAcentral.
GAUGAACGCUGGCGGCGUGCCUAAUACAUGCAAGUCGAGCGAACAGACGAGGAGCUUGCUCCUCUGACGUUAGCGGCGGACGGGUGAGUAACACGUGGAUAACCUACCUAUAAGACUGGGAUAACUUCGGGAAACCGGAUCUAAUACCGGAUAAUAUAUUGAACCGCAUGGUUCAAUAGUAAAAUACGGUUUUUCUGUCACUUAUAGAUGGAUCCGCGCCGCAUUAGCUAGUUGGUAAGGUAACGGCUUACCAAGGCAACGAUGCGUAGCCGACCUGAGAGGGUGAUAGGCCACACUGGAACUGAGACACGGUCCAGACUCCUACGGGAGGCAGCAGUAGGGAAUCUUACGCAAUGGGCGAAAGCUUGACGGAGCAACGCCGCGUGAGUGAUGAAGGUCUUCGGAUCGUAAAACUGUGUUAUUAGGGAAGAACAAAUGUGUAAGUAACUAUGCACGUCUUGACGGUACCUAAUCAGAAAGCCACGGCUAACUACGUG